GUGGGGGACAGCAACCAGGGCAGGGUGGAGCUGACAGAAGGGCCCCCGGGAGUCACCUGAGGUGUGAGAUGUUCCUGUGCCAGCAGAUUCCGCACCUCACUGGAGGAAGGUCCGUUUGCUCACUGUCCUUUUGGUCCUCAUGGCCAGCCUGGGAAGUGGGGAUUACUUUGAGGACCGUCGUGCAGAUAAGGAAACUGCGGCUCAGAGAGGACGCCUACCACAGCAUGGCUUGCCAAGCGGUUCCACAUCCACACCCGGGACCCGAACCAGCAAACCCCAGGCUGCUGAAGCCGAACGUGGAAACAAGACACCAAAAGCAAGAAUCAGCACAAAAAAGGGCAACAGAAAUAAUAAGUAUGCGACAUGUGGAAGUGUUAGCUAGUCUUGCGCUGGUAAUCACAUUGCAAUAAAUGAAUGUAUCAAAUCGACACAUUGUAUGCCCUAAACUUACACAAUGUUACAUGAUGAUAAUAUCUCAAUUAAAAAAAAAAGGACAACAGAAAUAGACCACAAGGACUUUAGGUAUUGGAAUUACCAAAAAUUAUGGUCUUAGAAUCACAGGCUCAAAGAUCCUCAAGGACAAGUUCAUCCUAAAAUGCAUGUGGAAAAACAAGGGACCAGAGUAGCCAAAACAACCUCGAAAAAGAAGAACAAAUGUGAAGGACUCACACUUCCUGAUUUCAAAGCUUCCCACAAAGCUACCGGAAUCAAGACUGCGUGCUACCAGUGUAAGGACAGACACGUAGAUCAAUGGAGUAGAAUUGAAAGUCCAGAAAUAAACCCAUAUACAAUGGUCAAUUGACUUUUGACAAGGGUACCAACAAACUCAAUGGGGAAAUCAUCUCUUCAAUAAAUAAUGCAGGGACAACUGGAUUUUCAUGCAAAAGAAUGACGUUGGACCUCUACUUCACACCAUACACCCACAUACACCAUUAACUCAAAAUGGAUUAAAGUUCUAAAACUGUGAGCUAAAAUUAUAAAACUGUUAGAAGAAAACAGGUGUAAAUCUUCGUGACCUUGGAUUAAGCAAUGGUUUCUUAGAUAUGACAUCUAAGCGUAAGCAAAGAAUGAAUAGACAAAUUGGACUUGAUCAAAAUUUAAAACUUGAGCUUCAAAGGACACUACGUGAAAAGACAAUCCACAGAAUGGAAAAAAAUAUUUGCAACUGAAAUAUCUGAUAGGGGCCUCAUAUCUGGAAUAUAUAAAGAACUCUUACAGUUCAACAAUCAAAUGCCAAAUAAUCCGAUUGAAACAUGAGCAAGGAUUUGAAUAGACAUUUCUCUAAAGAUGAUGUAUGAAUGGCCAAUAAACACAUGAAAAGAUGAUCAACGUCAUUAAUGGUUAUGAAAUUGUAAAUCAAAACCACAAAGAGAUACCACUUCACACCCACUAAGACGACUACAAUAAAAAAGACACAUUAACAAGUGUUGGCAGAGAGGCGGAGAAAGUGAAGUCUUUAUACACUCCUAGUGGGGAUAUAAAAUGGUGCAGCCACUUUGGAAAACAGUUUGGCGGUGUCUCAAAAAGCUAAAGAUGGAGUUCCCGUAUGCUGCAGCAAUUCCACGCCGUGGAAGACAUCAAGAGAAUGGAAAACAUGUUUACAGAGAAACUUAUACUUGAAUGUUCAUCACAGUGUUAUUCGUAAUAGCCCCAAAGUGGAAACAAUCCAAACGUCCAUCCUCGAAAUAGGGUGCACCCAGACAAUGGAAUAUUACUCAGCCAUAAAAAGGAAUGAAGUCCUGACACGUCAUGAAUGAACCUCGAAAACAUGCUGCGUGAAAGAAGCUUGACACAACCCUGCAUGUUCGUUCCAUUUAUACGAAAUGUCCAGAACAGGUGAAGCCAUGGCAGAAAGUAGACUAGUGGCUGCGGGGGUGAGGGGGUGGAGGGAGGAGUGACUAAUAGGUACAGGGUUUCAUUUGGGGGCGAUGAAAAUGUUCUGGAACUAGACAGUUGACGGUUGCACAACCUUAUGAGCAACCAAAAUGAUUGAAGUGUAUAUUGUCAAAG
RNAcentral lists this long non-coding RNA (2010 nucleotides) under Equus caballus (horse). RNAcentral describes it as "lncRNA (ENSECAG00000044771.1)". The record is from RNAcentral. Lineage: Eukaryota; Metazoa; Chordata; Mammalia; Perissodactyla; Equidae.